This 445-nucleotide ribosomal RNA is filed under the name uncultured bacterium. RNAcentral's name for it is "partial 16S ribosomal RNA". It matches the Rfam family "Bacterial small subunit ribosomal RNA", at positions 354 to 796 of the family's 1533-position model. The record is from RNAcentral.
GUGAGGAAUAUUGGUCAAUGGGCGAGAGCCUGAACCAGCCAAGUAGCGUGAGGGAUGACUGCCCUAUGGGUUGUAAACCUCUUUUGCAGGGGGGUAAAGUGGUCCACGUGUGGAUCAUUGCAAGUACCCUGCGAAUAAGGAUCGGCUAACUCCGUGCCAGCAGCCGCGGUAAUACGGAGGAUCCGAGCGUUAUCCGGAUUUAUUGGGUUUAAAGGGAGCGUAGGCGGGGGUUUAAGUCAGCUGUGAAAUGCCGUGGCCCAACCAUGGAACUGCAGUUGAAACUGGACCUCUUGAGAGUACAUAAGGAAGGCGGAAUUCGUGGUGUAGCGGUGAAAUGCAUAGAUAUCACGAAGAACUCCGAUUGCGAAGGCAGCUUUCCGGGGUACAUCUGACGCUGAAGCUCGAAAGUGCGGGAAUCAAACAGGAUUAGAUACCCGGGUAGUCC